GUAAUCAGGCAUGCGGCGUGCAGAAAGACAGACCUUAUGGGUAGUAAACUGCUUAUACAGGGAAUAAUAUAGUACGGUGUAAAUGAUUGAAAGGUACUGUUAUGAAUAAGGAACCGGCUAACUUCCGUGCCAGCAAGCCGCGGUAAUACGGAGGUCCGAGCGUAUCCGGAUUCAUUGGGUUUAAAGGGUGCGUAGGCGGCCUCGUAAGUCAGUAGUGAAAAUCCAUAGGCUUAACCUAUGACGUGCUAUUGAAACUGCGGAGCUAGAAUUCUGAUGGAGUGGGCGGAAUGUGUUGUGUAGCGGUGAAAUGCUUAGAUAUAACACAGAACACCGAUCGCGAAGGCAGCUCACUAAGGAGCAAUUGACGCUAAUGCACGAAAGCGUGGGGAGCGAACAGGAUUAGAUACCCUGGUAGUCCACGCCGUAAACGAUGAUAACUGGUUGUCGGCGAUACACAGUCGGCGGCUGAGCGAAAGUAUUAAGUUAUCCACCUGGGGAGUACGAUCGCAAGGUUGAAACUCAAAGGAAUUGACGGGGGCCCGCACAAGCGGUGGAGCAUGUGGUUUAAUUCGAUGAUACGCGAGGAACCUUACCUGGGCUCAAACGUAUAGUGCUUUUACGGGAAACCGUAUUUUCUUCGGACGCUAUACGAGGUGCUGCAUGGUUGUCGUCAGCUCGUGCCGUGAGGUGUCGGGUUAAGUCCCAUAACGAGCGCAACCCCUAUUCUUAGUUGCCAUCAGGUAAAGCUGGGGACUCUAAGGAAACUGCCGGCGCAAGCCGCGAGGAAGGUGGGGAUGACGUCAAAUCAGCACGGCCCUUAUGUCCAGGGCUACACACGUGCUACAAUGGUAGGUACAGAGGGCAGCUACAUGGUGACAUGGUGCGAAUCUCAAAAACUUAUCUCAGUUCGGAUCGAAGUCUGCAACUCGACUUCGUGAAGUUGGAAUCGCUAGUAAUCGCGUAUCAGCCAUGACGCGGUGAAUACGUUCCCGGGCCUUGUACACACCGCCCGUCAAGCCAUGGAAGCUGGGGGUGCCUAAAGUUCGUGACCGAGAGGAGCGGCCUAGGGUAAAACUAGUAACUGGGGCUAAGUCGUAACAAGG
Molecule: ribosomal RNA, 1103 nt
Filed under: uncultured bacterium
Lineage: Bacteria
Description: bacterial SSU rRNA
Rfam family: Bacterial small subunit ribosomal RNA
Source: RNAcentral